Non-coding RNA from Rattus norvegicus (Norway rat), 52 nucleotides. The record is from Rfam. NCBI's taxonomy places the organism in Eukaryota, Metazoa, Chordata, Mammalia, Rodentia, Muridae.
GGGAAACGGAGGGAGGGGCCAGCCCCAGGCCCCAAAACAAGUUUGUGGGACA